AUUGAACGCUCGCGGCAGGCUUAACACAUGCAAGUCGAGCGGGGUGAUGGUGCUUGCACUAUCACUUAGCGGCGGACGGGUGAGUAAUGCUUAGGAAUCUGCCUAUUAGUGGGGGACAACAUCUCGAAAGGGAUGCUAAUACCGCAUUCGUCCUACGGGAGAAAGCAGGGGAUCACUUGUGACCUUGCGCUAAUAGAUGAGCCUAAGUCGGAUUAGCUAGUUGGUGGGGUAAAGGCCUACCAAGGCGACGAUCUGUAGCGGGUCUGAGAGGAUGAACCGCCACACUGGGACUGAGACACGGCCCAGACUCCUACGGGAGGCAGCAGUGGGGAAUAUUGGACAAUGGGGGGAACCCUGAUCCAGCCAUGCCGCGUGUGUGAAGAAGGCCUUAUGGUUGUAAAGCACUUUAAGCGAGGAGGAGGCUCUUUUGGUUAAUACCCAAGAUGAGCGGACGUUACUCGCAGAAUAAGCACCGGCUAACUCUGUGCCAGCCGCCGCGGUAA
RNAcentral lists this ribosomal RNA (503 nucleotides) under uncultured bacterium. RNAcentral's name for it is "partial 16S ribosomal RNA". It matches the Rfam family "Bacterial small subunit ribosomal RNA", at positions 30 to 523 of the family's 1533-position model. The record is from RNAcentral.